AUACGGAGGAUCCGAGCGUUAUCCGGAUUUAUUGGGUUUAAAGGGUGCGUAGGUGGUUUGAUAAGUCAGCGGUGAAAGUUUGCAGCUUAACUGUAAAAAUGCCGUUGAAACUGUCGGACUUGAGUGUAAAUGAGGUAGGCGGAAUGCGUGGUGUAGCGGUGAAAUGCUUAGAUAUCACAAAGAACUCCGAUUGCGCAGGCAGCUUACUAAACUACAACUGACGCUCAGGCACGAAGGCGUGGGUAUC
This 247-nucleotide ribosomal RNA is filed under the name uncultured bacterium. RNAcentral describes it as "partial 16S ribosomal RNA". It matches the Rfam family "Bacterial small subunit ribosomal RNA", at positions 523 to 769 of the family's 1533-position model. The record is from RNAcentral.